This 439-nucleotide long non-coding RNA is filed under the name Oryza sativa (Asian cultivated rice). Its description in RNAcentral is "long non-coding RNA (OSAT_LNC000188)". Lineage: Eukaryota; Viridiplantae; Streptophyta; Magnoliopsida; Poales; Poaceae. The record is from RNAcentral.
GUAAGUAGUAGUAACACACUCUAAAUUAUUUCCUUGCACAAUGACACAAUGUGAUUGCAAGCAGCCAUUACAACUCAAAUUGAACUGUACCAUGACUAGAGAAAAUAUUUAAGCUUCAGUUUUAGGGCGUCCAUUUCAACUCAAUUGAGUAAGCAAUUCAACUGAAUUGUCUGCAUGAUUUAUGCUGUUCAGGUUCUUGAACAAGGGGCUGUCUGAUUUCAACUUGGCACUGGACCUCGGGUUCUUGACCAAGGCUAGGAAGUACACCUUCUUCAAGCCCAAGUUCAUCUUCUACGCGACCUACCUGUCGGAGAAGAUUGGGUACUGGAGGUACAUCACCAUCUUCAGGCACCUCAAGGCGAACCCGGAGUACCAGGUGUACCCCAUCUUCAAGUACUUUGAGAACUGGUGCCAGGAUGAGAACCGUCACGGUGAUUUC